Molecule: ribosomal RNA, 415 nt
Filed under: uncultured bacterium
Lineage: Bacteria
Description: bacterial SSU rRNA
Rfam family: Bacterial small subunit ribosomal RNA
Source: RNAcentral
AUUUUGCGCAAUGGGGGAAACCCUGACGCAGCAACGCCGCGUGGAGGAUGAAGGUCUUCGGAUUGUAAACUCCUUUCGCAGGGGACGAAUGGCUGCGUGAAUAACGCAGACUGACGGUACCCUGCGAAUAAGCCACGGCUAACUACGUGCCAGCAGCCGCGGUAAUACGUAGGUGGCGAGCGUUGUCCGGAUUUACUGGGCGUAAAGAGCGCGCAGGCGGUCGUUCAAGUCGCGUGUGAAAGCCCCCGGCUCAACUGGGGAGGGUCACGCGAUACUGAUCGACUCGAAGGCAGGAGAGGGAAGUGGAAUUCCCGGUGUAGUGGUGAAAUUCGUAGAUAUUCGGAAGAACACCAGUGGCGAAGGCGACUUACUGGACACAUAUUGACGCUGAGGUGCGAAAGCGUGGGGAGCAAAC